GCAUAGUGUACAACAAACUGAACAUGGUUUAAACUGGUUACUAAUACUUUGAUAGACAUAGAGGUGCCACUUCAGUGAGUACACUACAUACACCCCACCUGGCAGCAGCAUUCAGCAUGAUGCUCAUAUUUGCAUGAAAAGGAAUACAGUUCUUCCUCUUUACUUACUUGGAAAGGCGAGACCAAUGCACUAUCCGUGAUUCCUAGCCUGUACUACAAUGGCCAUGAUUCCAGGAAAUAAAAUUGCAGCAAAAUCACUAACUAAUCCGGCAUAUACCAUAAGAAUGUGACAUUUUAUCGUAAACCUCCACAUCAACAAGCAUUCUAAUAUUACUGAUGCUUAACAGCUCCCAUUCCAGAUUUUUCCGGGACCGGUUGAAUUCCUCCUCCAGGAUGGUAUCACUUCCGGCUCGACUAGAGAAUUCACCAUUCCGAAUUCAAAAGGACUAAAAGCACUGCGCUCCCAUGAGUGCAUUUCGUCGAACAGUGAGCAAUCCUUUGUCCUUUCCUUCGGUUAAUGUUCUGGUGGAAACACGGACGUGUCAAAUCCCCUUUGAACUGUCCAAAUUCCGGUGGGUUUCGCAUCGAAAUUCUGAUUAAAGAUGUUUACAAUGAUGUUCUUUUUUGCUGCAAAAGAAAGAGAGAGUACUCCUCACUCGCCGCCGCCGCCGCUCUACGGCCUUUGUUGCCGCCGCCGAUCUUCUAAACCACCACUCCUACCCUCCACGCAGCACCCCUCCCUCUCCCUCCCUGCAAACCCCGAGCCGCCAUCCCUACCCUGAUCCUCCCUCCGCCGCAGUUCUCUGCUUUUCUGGAGCGACGGACGGGCUUUGCUACGGCCUAGCUCCUCCACCUGUCGUCAGCCACGACGAUUGCUGGCCUGCUGGAGGAGUCGUACGUCGCUUCUACCUUCUCCACCGUCGGCGCAUCCCCGUUCGUGGGGGUUCAAGAUCUUUUGGUAGUUUUUGCAAGCCAGAUAAUGUCUUGCACACACCAGGCUAUAAAGACAGGAGCAAAUAUUGGCUUUCAGUAGUUUGAAGGAGGAUCAUCAGGAGCAAAGGGAUUAUAAGCUGUAAAGUAGCUAGUUUGCAAAUCCAACUGUGGUCAAGUCACUGAGGUCGCCCACAUGAAUCUAGCAAGCACAUUUGCGGGGUAGCCUGCAGGUCCACAACACAAGGAAAUGAAUUGCUACCAAUCUUCGUUACAGCAACAAAUUUGAUUUUGUGGGAUCGAAUUGAAAGCAGACGGCCGUAAGUAAAAUAACUUGUUUUUAUAUCGUGUAACUGCAAACGGCUUAUAGUAUAAAACGGUUUCCUUUAUCUUA
This is a long non-coding RNA of Brachypodium distachyon (stiff brome), 1323 nucleotides long. RefSeq lists it as uncharacterized. Lineage: Eukaryota; Viridiplantae; Streptophyta; Magnoliopsida; Poales; Poaceae. The transcript is spliced from 3 exons. The record is from RefSeq and is a predicted model, not a curated record.